Molecule: transfer RNA, 73 nt
Filed under: Tetrahymena thermophila
Lineage: Eukaryota; Ciliophora; Oligohymenophorea; Hymenostomatida; Tetrahymenidae
Description: cytoplasmic tRNA-Tyr (QFA)
Rfam family: tRNA
About the family: Transfer RNA (tRNA) molecules are approximately 80 nucleotides in length. Their secondary structure includes four short double-helical elements and three loops (D, anti-codon, and T loops).
Source: RNAcentral
CCGAACUUAGCUCAGUUGGAAGAGCAUCGGACUGUAAAUCCGGUGGUCCCCGGUUCGAACCCGGGAGUUCGGA